Long non-coding RNA from Danio aesculapii, 1203 nucleotides. RefSeq lists it as uncharacterized. NCBI's taxonomy places the organism in Eukaryota, Metazoa, Chordata, Actinopteri, Cypriniformes, Danionidae. The transcript has 5 exons. The record is from RefSeq and is a predicted model, not a curated record.
UAUCUAUUAUACAUACAGUGUCAUAAAUAGAAUACGCCUUUAUUACAGACAGUAAAAUAUGCCGCUGAUGUUUCUGUGACAUUUUAUUGGCUUACGAGGCUCACGUGCUCCAAGGUUAGCGUGAGACUUUUGCGACAUUGUGGGAACGCCCAAUGCUUUACUUUAGGCGCCACAAAUUACUGCAGUGAGUGAGGACGGGAUUUUAACUUCAAGCUUUCGGCACUCGGCAGUUAUCAGCACAUCUGUUGUCACGGUUAUUCAUAGAAAUCUGGCCUGUACUUAAGAUGGAAUCUAAGAUGUAGUUGUAUGCAGGGUUCCAACGGAUUACAAACCACGUUCUACUCUGAGUUUGACCGACAUCUUCCUAGCCUGAUGACCCUAUUCAGAUAGAAGGCAGCCAGAACCGGGAAGACAUCAGAUUCUUUAAGUGAAAUCUUAAGAGUCCAUGAUGAACAGGAGUUCCAUGACAUGCACAUCAAGUGUGUCACUGUUGUUCAUGCCCUUCCGGUGUAUCUACGUGUGGAAAUCACUGGGUUUUUAAGGACCUGCAUGGACACUGAUAAGCUGAUUAUCUGAUGAGCCAGAGCUUUCAGAUGUUGCAGUGGCCCUCCUCACAGUCGUCAAAGAUAAUGACACAAGUCCAGUUCACUUUCAACAUGUGAAAAACUUGUCAUCGAGAGUGAGAUUGUGGGCAGCCUCUCUAGAUUUGCUGAUAUCUUCCUGGUAAUGUUUGGACUGAUUUAUGCACUGCAUCUCAACUUUCCCAGGGGACUGACCAACACUUUUGAAUUCACCCAAGUUACAGAGUCUCAAAAAUGAUUUGAUGCGAAUGUAGACAUUUAUUGUAAAAAUGACUUAAGGCCUGGCAGUUUCUCAGUAGUUCAAUGUAAUUUGUUUUUGUGAAGAUACUGGUUAACAGGUUUCUGCAUUUUUUCCCCACAAUGUGCAUUUAUUAAUGUUAUUUGUCAUUAAUACAGCUCUUGUCCUUAAGAGUUAAGUACAGUUGGGUAGUACUUGAUAACCAAAUAGGUAAUUUAGUUUUAAAUGGUUCAUGUUUUUGUAAAGGUUCAUGCAGGUUCGUGAAUUUGUAAUGUCAGAGGUGUGGUCGUAAAUCUGCUUUUCAGGUUUUUUAUCCUUUUAAAUUAACACUGCAGUGUCAAAUUUAGCUUUGAGGCUUACAUUUUUGAGUAUUGUGUUUUAAAU